RNAcentral lists this long non-coding RNA (776 nucleotides) under Gossypium raimondii (Peruvian cotton). RNAcentral's name for it is "long non-coding RNA (GRAI_LNC000763)". The record is from RNAcentral. Lineage: Eukaryota; Viridiplantae; Streptophyta; Magnoliopsida; Malvales; Malvaceae.
GGGUCUUUUCCUUUGUCGCUUCCCCCUUUGAACAACUGCUUCAAUUCAACUAUCAUGCUUUUUUGAGACUCUAUCAUUUCGUUCCUCAUAUCUUGUUGAAUCUUUUCUAACCGCUCUUGCAUUUGUUCUUGCAUCUCCUUUUGGAGUUGUUCGAGUCUUUCGAAUCUUUGAUCCAUGACUUUUGUUUUGCGACAGGUACCGUAGGGGUGUUUGGUUGGUUGGUUUUUUUCAGAUUAGCUGAAAUAAAUUUACUCGUUUAGACUCUUUCGAUGGAUUUAAAUGCAUAAGAUGUAGAUGUAUGAAAUGCAUGCCUAAAGAGACAUUGAUUUUAAUUCAAUUACAUUUAGGAAACUUUUCUAGAAAGUAAAUUCCCUUACAUAAAACGGAUACAUGUACGGCCUCACCCUCAUAUUUCAAGAAAUAACAUUGGUCUUUUCUUCAUCCGCAUGUUUGAGGUAAUCUCGCCAAUAGAUGCCAUUGCUAGCUCAUUUUCUUGAUCUUGGUCGCGAUCCAUCAUCUGCCCAUCUUCAUAAGGCUCAUCAACUUGUCGAAGGCUUUUGGACAAUCGUCUCGAACCCUUAGGCCACGAAGGAAAGAUCACGAACUCUUCCAUCGCCCUUCUUGUGUCUCUCAGAAUAUAUUUGGGAAGUCGUAUUGUUUUCCACUUUAUCAAGGAAUCUGUAUUCCAUGAAAGCUUUCUAAUUUAGUAAUUGGAUUUGAAUCAAUAUCUCUUUCCUAAGAUGCAAAUGCAAUGCAAUCAUAAUCAAAACAAAACA